AUGGCAUUGGUGCUACUGCUCGUCGUUGCAAUCACGCUAUAUCUAGCAUCUACAUCAGCACAACCUGUCCCUGGAUGCCAAACAUACUGUGGAGAUAUCAAAAUACCUUAUCCAUUUGGCAUUGGUGCAAACUGUGCCAUCAAAACUGGCUUUGAGAUUAACUGCAAUAGGACUGCCGAUGGAACUAUGAAGCCAUUCAUUGUCAAUAUCGAGGUUCUAGAUAUAUCACUGCUCCAUGGUCAAACACGGGCAUUAAACGCCAUGUCAACGUAUUGCUACAAUCAUGCCACAGGAUCAAUGUAUGACAACACGUUUUGGCUUGACUUCUCAUCAUGGCCUUACCGGUUCUCUGACGUGCAAAACAAGUUCAUAGUCAUUGGCUGCAACACACUUGCUUACAUCUAUAACAGCAAAAACAGGACCGGGUACACGACAGCAUGUGCAUCAGUGUGUGCGAGCCCAGGAGCCGUGACAAAUGGCUCAUGCUCUGGUGUAGGGUGCUGCCAAAAUGCUAUUCCCAAGGGCUUAAGGCGCUAUGAUGUCUAUUUCAGAAAUGUCUAUAAUGAUCAAGAUAGUUGGCAGUUUAACCCAUGCAGCUAUGCUGCCCUUGUGGAAACAAAGACAUUUAAUUUCAGCUCCGACUACAUAACCACAAAGAGGUUCAAUGAUACAUACAAAGGGAGGCAGCCACUGGUUCUGGACUGGGUAAUUGGAGAUGAAACAUGCGAGGUGGCCAGGAACAUGACUUCUUAUGCAUGCCGCAGCGCAAACAGCGUGUGUGUGGAUUCAACCAAUGGUCCAGGGUAUAUAUGCAACUGCUCCAGGGGGUACGAAGGAAACCCUUACCUCUUGGAUGGAUGCACAGAUGUCAAUGAAUGUGAGAAGUAUCCAAGUAAAUGCCCAAAGACUGCUGUAUGCCACAAUACAAAAGGAGAUUACCGAUGUUCAUGUCCUCCAGGCAGAAAGUUGGCGAAGGACACGAACUCUUGUAACCCAGAUAUCACCCUAAUCAUAGGCACUUGCAUCGGCUGUAUCGUUCUAGUGAUUGUCAUCUUCUGCAUGCGUUUAAUUUUUGAGAGAAGAAAGCUCACAGAUGUCAAGAAACAGUAUUUUCAGCAACAUGGAGGUGUGCUAUUAUUCGAGAAGAUGAAAUCCGACCAGGGACUUGCAUUUACGGUAUUCACUGAAGCACAAGUAGAAGAAGCAACAAACAAGUUUGACAAAAGCCAAAUUCUAGGACAUGGGGGCCAUGGGACUGUUUACAAGGGCAUUAUUAAGGGUACAAAUCCAGUGGCAAUCAAAAGAUGUGCAUUGAUUGAUGAAAGGCAUAAGAAGGAAUUUGGUAAAGAAAUGCUGAUUCUCUCCCAGAUCAAUCACAAGAACAUCGUCAAGCUGUUGGGCUGCUGCCUGGAGGUGGAAGUCCCAAUGCUGGUGUAUGAGUUCAUCCCAAAAGGAACAUUGUUUGAUCUUCUUCACGGAAAGAACCGCACACGGCACAUCCCAUUCAGUUCGCUCUUAAGGAUCGUAAAUGAGGCAGCAGAGGGGCUUGCAUUUUUACAUUCCUAUGCAAACCCACCAAUUCUACAUGGUGAUGUGAAAACUUCUAACAUCCUUCUUGAUGACAAUUACAUGGCAAAGGUAUCCGACUUUGGGGCUUCCAUACUAGUACCAACUGAUCAAGCCCAGUUUGUGACAAUGGUUCAAGGGACUUGUGGUUAUCUGGAUCCUGAAUAUAUGCAGACAUGUCGGUUGACAGAUAAAAGCGAUGUUUAUAGCUUUGGUGUCGUCCUUUUGGAAGUCCUUACUGGGCAGGUGCCACUAAAACUGGAAGGUAAUGAGUCACAAAGAAGCUUGGCAUCAUGUUUCCUAGUGGCUAUGAAGGAGAACAACCUUGAUGCCAUGUUGGAUAGUCAAAUAAAAGAUCACGAGAGCAUGGAGCUGCUUACUGGACUAGCGGAACUAGCAAAGCAAUGCUUGGAUAUGUGUGGUGACAACAGGCCCUCCAUGAAAGAGGUAUCUAUGGAGCUUACCAGAUUAAGGAGGCUUUCCAAACAUCCUUGGAUGCAUCACGAUGCUGAUACAGAGAGCUUUCUCAGUGCACCAUCAACCAGUAGUUUUGAAAUAGAACAAGGCUCUGAAUACACAAGGAAGGAUGAACAAAUGCCCAUGAAUCCAAGCAGUUCUUACUUUAUCAGAUGA
RNAcentral lists this ribosomal RNA (2199 nucleotides) under Triticum aestivum (bread wheat). RNAcentral describes it as "partial small subunit ribosomal RNA". Lineage: Eukaryota; Viridiplantae; Streptophyta; Magnoliopsida; Poales; Poaceae. The record is from RNAcentral.